UACGUAGGGUGCAAGGCGUUGUCCGGAAUUAUUGGGCGUAAAGAGCUUGUAGGCGGUUUGUCGCGUCUGCUGUGAAAUUUCGGGGCUCAACCCCGAACUUGCAGUCGGGUACGGGCAGACUAGAGUGUGGUAGGGGAGACUGGAAUUCCUGGUGUAGCGGUGAAAUGCGCAGAUAUCAGGAGGAACACCGAUGGCGAAGGCAGGUCUCUGGGCCAUAACUGACGCUGAGAAGCGAAAGCAUGGGGAGCGAACAGGA
RNAcentral lists this ribosomal RNA (256 nucleotides) under uncultured bacterium. RNAcentral describes it as "partial 16S ribosomal RNA". It matches the Rfam family "Bacterial small subunit ribosomal RNA", at positions 524 to 777 of the family's 1533-position model. The record is from RNAcentral.